This 570-nucleotide ribosomal RNA is filed under the name Colletotrichum alienum. RNAcentral describes it as "eukaryotic LSU rRNA". The stretch from base 213 to 366 matches the Rfam family "5.8S ribosomal RNA". The record is from RNAcentral. Lineage: Eukaryota; Fungi; Ascomycota; Sordariomycetes; Glomerellales; Glomerellaceae.
UAACAAGGUCUCCGUUGGUGAACCAGCGGAGGGAUCAUUACUGAGUUUACGCUCUAUAACCCUUUGUGAACAUACCUAUAACUGUUGCUUCGGCGGGUAGGGUCUCCGUGACCCUCCCGGCCUCCCGCCCCCGGGCGGGUCGGCGCCCGCCGGAGGAUAACCAAACUCUGAUUUAACGACGUUUCUUCUGAGUGGUACAAGCAAAUAAUCAAAACUUUUAACAACGGAUCUCUUGGUUCUGGCAUCGAUGAAGAACGCAGCGAAAUGCGAUAAGUAAUGUGAAUUGCAGAAUUCAGUGAAUCAUCGAAUCUUUGAACGCACAUUGCGCCCGCCAGCAUUCUGGCGGGCAUGCCUGUUCGAGCGUCAUUUCAACCCUCAAGCUCUGCUUGGUGUUGGGGCCCUACAGCUGAUGUAGGCCCUCAAAGGUAGUGGCGGACCCUCCCGGAGCCUCCUUUGCGUAGUAACUUUACGUCUCGCACUGGGAUCCGGAGGGACUCUUGCCGUAAAACCCCCCAAUUUUCCAAAGGUUGACCUCGGAUCAGGUAGGAAUACCCGCUGAACUUAAGCAUA